AACGAACGCUGGCGGCAUGCCUAACACAUGCAAGUCGAACGAGACCUUCGGGUCUAGUGGCGCACGGGUGCGUAACGCGUGGGAACCUGCCCUUAGGUUCGGAAUAACUCCCCGAAAGGGGUGCUAAUACCGGAUAAUGUCUUCGGACCAAAGAUUUAUCGCCUUUGGAUGGGCCCGCGUUGGAUUAGCUAGUUGGUAGGGUAAAAGCCUACCAAGGCGACGAUCCAUAGCUGGUCUGAGAGGAUGAUCAGCCACACUGGGACUGACACACGGCCCAGACUCCUACGGGAAGCAGCAGUGGGGAAUAUUGGACAAUGGGCGAAAGCCUGAUCCGGCAAUGCCGCGUGAGUGAUGAAGGCCUUAGGGUUGUAAAGCUCUUUUACCCGGGAUGAUAAUGACAGUACCGGGAGAAUAAGCUCCGGCUAACUCCGUG
RNAcentral lists this ribosomal RNA (433 nucleotides) under uncultured bacterium. RNAcentral describes it as "partial 16S ribosomal RNA". It matches the Rfam family "Bacterial small subunit ribosomal RNA", at positions 29 to 507 of the family's 1533-position model. The record is from RNAcentral.